Molecule: long non-coding RNA, 132 nt
Organism: Etheostoma spectabile (orangethroat darter)
Lineage: Eukaryota; Metazoa; Chordata; Actinopteri; Perciformes; Percidae
Exons: 3
Source: RefSeq, a predicted model, not a curated record
GCCAAUUAAAGGGCUCAUUAAAGGGUAACUACCGUUUUUAUUAACCUGGACCCUAUUUUCCAACGGUUUUGUGUCUGAGUGACUGAUGGUAACAACAAUCUUUGAAAUUGGUCCAGUAUUAAACAAGGUCGC